GAUGAACGCUGGCGGCGUGCCUAAUACAUGCAAGUCGAGCGAAUGGAUUAAGAGCUUGCUCUUAUGAAGUUAGCGGCGGACGGGUGAGUAACACGUGGGUAACCUGCCCAUAAGACUGGGAUAACUCCGGGAAACCGGGGCUAAUACCGGAUAACAUUUUGAACCGCAUGGUUCGAAAUUGAAAGGCGGCUUCGGCUGUCACUUAUGGAUGGACCCGCGUCGCAUUAGCUAGUUGGUGAGGUAACGGCUCACCAAGGCAACGAUGCGUAGCCGAACUGAGAGGGUGAUCUGCCACACUUGGACUGAGACACGGCCCAGACUCCUACGGGAGGCAGCAGUAGGGAAUCUUCCGCAAUGGACGAAAGUCUGACGGAGCAACGCCGCGUGAGUGAUGAAGGCUUUCGGGUCGUAAAACUCUGUUGUUAGGGAAGAACAAGUGCUAGUUGAAUAAGCUGGCACCUUGACGGUACCUAACCAGAAAGCCACGGCUAACUACGUGCCAGCCGCCGCAGUAA
Molecule: ribosomal RNA, 515 nt
Filed under: uncultured bacterium
Lineage: Bacteria
Description: partial 16S ribosomal RNA
Rfam family: Bacterial small subunit ribosomal RNA
Source: RNAcentral